GGAGAGUUGGCAGAGUGGUCUAAUGCGGCGGUCUUGAAAACCGUUGAGCUUUGCGGCUCCGGGGGUUCGAAUCCCUCACUCUCCG
RNAcentral lists this transfer RNA (85 nucleotides) under Bacteroidales bacterium. RNAcentral's name for it is "tRNA-Ser". It matches the Rfam family "tRNA". From Rfam's summary of the family: Transfer RNA (tRNA) molecules are approximately 80 nucleotides in length. Their secondary structure includes four short double-helical elements and three loops (D, anti-codon, and T loops). RNAcentral also lists the same sequence under 1 other name. The record is from RNAcentral. Lineage: Bacteria; Pseudomonadati; Bacteroidota; Bacteroidia; Bacteroidales.